AGUCCCGUAGCUCAAGCGGAGCAUCCGCCCCGGACUGCGGCGGGACGGCAGGUUCCGGGUUCGAAUCCCGGCGAGGCGACCA
Molecule: transfer RNA, 82 nt
Filed under: Catenulispora acidiphila DSM 44928
Lineage: Bacteria; Bacillati; Actinomycetota; Actinomycetes; Catenulisporales; Catenulisporaceae
Description: tRNA-Pro
Rfam family: tRNA
About the family: Transfer RNA (tRNA) molecules are approximately 80 nucleotides in length. Their secondary structure includes four short double-helical elements and three loops (D, anti-codon, and T loops). Further hydrogen bonds mediate the characteristic L-shaped molecular structure. tRNAs have two regions of fundamental functional importance: the anti-codon, which is responsible for specific mRNA codon recognition, and the 3' end, to which the tRNAs corresponding amino acid is attached (by aminoacyl-tRNA synthetases). tRNAs cope with the degeneracy of the genetic code in two manners: having more than one tRNA (with a specific anti-codon) for a particular amino acid; and 'wobble' base-pairing, i.e. permitting non-standard base-pairing at the 3rd anti-codon position.
Source: RNAcentral